UAACCACCUUGCCAGCUUCGGCUGGUUCUCGUCAGCGCAGCCGCAUUGCCGCGGCUGCAUAUUAAGAAGUCGUUGUGCAUUUAGCUUGA
This is a non-coding RNA of Vibrio vulnificus YJ016, 89 nucleotides long. Lineage: Bacteria; Pseudomonadati; Pseudomonadota; Gammaproteobacteria; Vibrionales; Vibrionaceae. The record is from Rfam.